AGGGGGCUUAGUGGUGGGGUGACUGCGUACCUUUUGUAUAAUGGGUCAGCGACUUAUAUUCUGUAGCAAGGUUAACCGUAUAGGGGAGCCGGAGGGAAACCGAGUCUUAAUUGGGCGUUAAGUUGCAGGGUAUAGACCCGAAACCCGGUGAUCUAGCCAUGGGCAGGUUGAAGGUUGGGUAACACUAACUGGAGGACCGAACCGACUAAUGUUGAAAAAUUAGCGGAUGACCUGUGGCUGGGGGUGAAAGGCCAAUCAAACCGGGAGAUAGCUGGUUCUCCCCGAAAGCUAUUUAGGUAGCGCCUCGUGAAUUCAUCUCCGGGGGUAGAGCACUGUUUCGGCUAGGGGGCCAUCCCGGCUUACCAACCCGAUGCAAACUGCGAAUACCGGAGAAUGUUAUCACGGGAGACACACGGCGGGUGCUAACGUCCGUCGUGAAGAGGGAAACAACCCAGACCGCCAGCUAAGGUCCCAAAGUCAUGGUUAAGUGGGAAACGAUGUGGGAAGGCCCAGACAGCCAGGAUGUUGGCUUAGAAGCAGCCAUCAUUUAAAGAAAGCGUAAUAGCUCACUGGUCGAGUCGGCCUGCGCGGAAGAUGUAACGGGGCUAAACCAUGCACCGAAGCUGCGGCAGCGAACGUAUCACCCAAGACAACUUUACGGAGUUGACGAUUGACGGAGCGAAGCGACGUCAAAGCGUUCAUUAAAGUCGAGUUGGCUUAGGGAUACGUUCGUUGGGUAGGGGAGCGUUCUGUAAGCCUGUGAAGGUGUGUCGUGAGGCAUGCUGGAGGUAUCAGAAGUGCGAAUGCUGACAUAAGUAACGAUAAAGCGGGUGAAAAGCCCGCUCGCCGGAAGACCAAGGGUUCCUGUCCAACGUUAAUCGGGGCAGGGUGAGUCGACCCCUAAGGCGAGGCCGAAAGGCGUAGUCGAUGGGAAACGGGUUAAUAUUCCCGUACUUGGUGUUACUGCGAAGGGGGGACGGAGAAGGCUAUGUUGGCCGGGCGACGGUUGUCCCGGUUUAAGCGUGUAGGUGUGUGUUCCAGGUAAAUCCGGUUCACUUUAACACUGAGGCGUGACGACGAGGCACUACGGUGCUGA
This 1096-nucleotide ribosomal RNA is filed under the name Salmonella enterica subsp. enterica serovar Typhimurium. RNAcentral describes it as "partial 23S ribosomal RNA". It matches the Rfam family "Bacterial large subunit ribosomal RNA", at positions 575 to 1588 of the family's 2925-position model. The record is from RNAcentral. Lineage: Bacteria; Pseudomonadati; Pseudomonadota; Gammaproteobacteria; Enterobacterales; Enterobacteriaceae.